GAUGAACGCUGGCGGCGUGCCUAAUACAUGCAAGUCGAGCGAACAGACGAGGAGCUUGCUCCUCUGACGUUAGCGGCGGACGGAUGAGUAACACGUGGAUAACCUACCUAUAAGACUGGGAUAACUUCGGGAAACCGGAGCUAAUACCGGAUAAUAUAUUGAACCGCAUGGUUCAAUAGUGAAAGACGGUUUUGCUGUCACUUAUAGAUGGAUCCGCGCCGCAUUAGCUAGUUGGUAAGGUAACGGCUUACCAAGGCAACGAUGCGUAGCCGACCUGAGAGGGUGAUCGUCCACACUGGAACUGAGACACGGUCCAGACUCCUACGGGAGGCAGCAGUAGGGAAUCUUCCGCAAUGGGCGAAAGCCUGACGGAGCAACGCCGCGUGAGUGAUGAAGGUCUUCGGAUCGUAAAACUCUGUUAUUAGGGAAGAACAAAUGUGUAAGUAACUAUGCACGUCUUGACGGUACCUAAUCAGAAAGCCACGGCUAACUACGU
RNAcentral lists this ribosomal RNA (496 nucleotides) under uncultured bacterium. RNAcentral describes it as "partial 16S ribosomal RNA". It matches the Rfam family "Bacterial small subunit ribosomal RNA", at positions 28 to 506 of the family's 1533-position model. The record is from RNAcentral.